RNAcentral lists this long non-coding RNA (4851 nucleotides) under Solanum lycopersicum (tomato). Its description in RNAcentral is "long non-coding RNA (SLYC_LNC000711)". Lineage: Eukaryota; Viridiplantae; Streptophyta; Magnoliopsida; Solanales; Solanaceae. The record is from RNAcentral.
GGAAUUUGGUGAAGCUAGAAGGUUUUUGCAUAGACCCUAAAGAAGCAAAUUGCUACUUAGUCUAUGAGUAUGUUGAAAAUGGUUCACUACAUUCUUGGCUUCACGGUGAAAAACCUGAAAAAUUGAGUUGGAAAACAAGACUAAGAAUUGCAACUGAUGUUGCAAAUGGUCUUUUAUACAUUCAUGAACAUACAAGGCCAAGAGUUGUCCACAAAGACAUCAAAAGUAGCAACAUUCUCCUAGACUCCAACAUGAGAGCCAAAGUUGCCAAUUUUGGUCUAGCUAAAUCAGGGUGCAAUGCUAUAACAAUGCACAUUGUAGGUACUCAGGGGUACAUCGCCCCCGAGUACCUAACCGAUGGGAUUGUAUCCACUAAGAUGGAUGUUUUCUCAUUCGGAGUUGUGUUGCUCGAGCUUGUGUCAGGGAAGGAGGCUAUCAACGAUGAAGGGAAAGUCUUGUGGGCAAAAGUUAGUGAUUUUUCAGAAGGGAGUGAAGAAAGGAAGGUGAGUAAAUUGCAAGAAUGGAUGGAUGAAAGUCUUUUGAGGGAAGAAUUAACUAUCGAAAGUGUUGUGAAUGUGAUGUCUGUGGCUAUUUCAUGUUUGAAUAAAGAUCCUUCAAGAAGGCCAGGCAUGAUUGAAAUUGUGUAUGCGUUGUCUAAAAGUAUUGAUCUAUUUUCUGAUGUUUCAGAGGAGGGACUAUCUCCAAGGCAAGUCACAGCAAGAUAGACUACAUAAUAGUACAAGCAUAUUAUGUAAAGUUGUUUUGAAGUGGAGUAGCAUUUUGUGUUUUGAGGUUUUUACUUUCCUUAAAAGUUUUUCUUCUAUAUAUGUGUAAUAUUACUCCUAUAUUAUCUUCUAUAGUAGUAGUGGUAAAUCUAAUUCAGAAUAAAAGCAUGUUUAAGGUUGUUCUAGUGUAAUUCUUUACAAUUACAUGUAUUAGUUAUGCAGUUAUCUAAAUUGCAAAUCAAACACCAUAUUGAUUUUAUAAUGAAUAAUUUACCUCCUAAAUCAGCUAACAAACAUGAUAUUACUUAUUAAGAACCCGAUACUUGCAUAACUCAACUCCAAACCAACUGCCAACCGACCUUGAAUGAAAAGUAUUUUCCCUAAUUCUUGCAAUAGUUAAAUGUACCUUGGAAAAAGAUGUAUCUCAGAAAUAGCUAGUCCAAACAUGUGAAAACAUCCUGGAGAAAAACAACAAAUAUAAACACGAGUAUUUUCUACAAUAUGGUUGACCAAAAACCCUUCUAGGUGGGACCAACAAAUUGGAAAAAAAAAACCAUCUUCCUUUAAUGUUAAAGACAAUACCAUAUGAGAAAAUAAAUAACAACAACCAAUCAAAUAAUGCAGAAAAUCCCCAUCACUCAUUAAAUGGUCGAAAACCAAGACUAUGACAAAAAAAACAAGAACUUUGGUAUAUAAACCUCUUAUAACAACAUCAUAUUAUAUACACACACAUCUCUCCUUCAACAAAACACAAAACCAAGAAAAUGAUAACAAAACCAAUAUUUAUUUUUUCACUUCUCUUCUUCUUAUCAUUCAUAUUGAACCAAAACAUAAUAUGUUAUGCACAAGAGCCACCAAGCAUAACAGGAUAUACUUGUAAUCCUGAGCAAUUCAAUCCAUGUCAAACUUAUGUGUUAUACAGAGCUAGAGCACCAGAGUUUCUUGAUUUAGCCUCAAUUGGUGAUCUAUUUUCAGUAAGUAGACUAAUGAUAGCAAACCCUAGUAAUAUUUCCAACCCAAACACAACUCUUGUUAAUGAUCAACCCCUUUUUAUCCCCAUCACGUGUUCUUGUAACAACAUCAACACAACUUUUGGUAGCAUAUCUUAUGCUGGCUUUAACUACAGUUUCAAAUCAGGUGACACUAUGUAUGGUGUAUCAACAUCUAAAUUCCAAAACCUUACUACUUAUCAAUCUGUUGAGGCUGUUAAUCCAACUGUUGUACCAGAAAACAUUGACAUAGGUCAAGCUAUAAAAUUCCCAAUUUUUUGCAAAUGUCCAAACACAACAUCUUCACAAAAUCAACCAAGACUACUCAUAACUUAUGUUUUUCAACCUAAUGAUAACAUUUCUUCUAUUGCCUCAAGAUUCAGAGUAACCCCACAAUCUAUAACACAAAUUAAUGGAAAUAACACCAAGAUUCUUGAUACCCUUUUCAUCCCUCUUUCUAAUCUACCUAAUCUUACACAGCCAACAUCAUCAAACACCCCACCCCCACCCCCUACACCCUCAGCACCAGUAAAUCAAGAAAAAGACAGAAAAGGAACUGUUAUAGGGUUAGCAAUUGGUUUAGGGGUUUGUGGGGUUUUGUUGAUUUUGGUUCUUGGUUUGUUUUACAAGGAGAAAACAGGGAAGAAAGAAGGGUAUGGUGAUGUUGAAAGACAAAAAAGUUUGUAUCUUGGAUCAAAAAAGGGGUCUUUUGUUGAUAAAGAUGUUGAAGUGAAUUUGUUGGCUGAUGUAUCUGAGUGUUUGGAUAAGUAUAAAAUGUACAAAAUGGAACAAAUUUGGGAAGCAACAGAUGGAUUUGAUGAAGGGUGUUUGAUACAAGGAUCUGUGUAUAAAGGAACAAUUGAUGGUGAAGUGUUUGCAAUCAAGAAAAUGAAGUGGAAUGCUCGUGAAGAACUCAAAAUUCUGCAAAAGGUAAACAUUUUUACUCAACUUUCUAUACUUUGGGUAUCUUUUCAAGAAUCACUUUUGUGGACUAAUUGAUACGGAGAAAAUGAUAAACAUGGACCAAUUCGGGUUGAGGUAGCGUAGUAAGUAAUUUGUCUUUCAUUUUAAAUUUUUGGAUUUGAGUCAUCUGAAUACGAAGUUAUUUUUGCUAAGAAGCGAGCUAUUAUUAUUAAUAGAGAAUUUGCUAUAUAUUUGGUAUGUUAUCAAGAAUUGUUUUUGUGUACUAAUUAAUGUUUGAGAAAAUGACGAAAUGAUUUAGUAAUUAAAGAUUUAAAAUUUAAAUUUCUUAGGUAUGUUAUUUUAGUUAGAAAGUGCAUUUUAAUAUGAUUUUAAAUUUAAUUAAACUUUAUAAUGAAUAACAAACUACAGUAAAAGGAAAAAGAAAACAUGGUACAUAUAUGUGGAGGGUUGAUUUAUAAUAGUUUUUUAAGUAUGUACUAUAUUUGAUAGUUUCCAUUUUUUAAGUUUGUUAAAAAGUAAUAUAUUUAAUUUUUCAUAUAAUAUUUAUUGAAUAUACAUGUUAGAUUUUUGGAGCUUGAUUAGUUUUGAUUUGUUUCUAUAAUUUAGUGUUUUUUUUUUUUUGAGGUGUGAAGUUGUCUAUAUGCCAUGUUUUCUGCAGCAUAUUUUUAGAUAUCAAUAAGAUCUUUUUAGUUUUUAUGAUUAAAUUAUUAAUUAUUUUGUCAAAUUUAAUAAACAUAAAUUAUUGAGUAUUUGAGAAGAUUAAAAGUGUCAACUUUUGAUAAAUAAAUUCAAUUUAAGGAAUUAUUUUGAACAAUAUUCUCCCUCCUUAGAGGCUAUUUUUGUCAUUUUCUCAACUGAUAUUUUAGUAAUGUUAAAUUCCACCACAGAAUUGUUUUUCCUCCAAUGGAUCAGAUUAAGUAUUUAAUUUUAAUAAAAUAUUAAACAAUUUAAAUUAUUAGGUCUAGUGACCUGUCGUAUUCUUAAGACAUUAGUACUUUAUUUAAAUAUUUAAGUGGACCAUUAUGCCCGUUGGGAUUUGAUAAUUUAUAAUUUAAGCUAAUCUACAUCAUUUAAUACUCAAUUUAUUUGUCCUUUGAUGUCUAUCUUUUCAUUAAAAAUACUCCUCUUUUUGUUUCUCAAUUAUUUCCCUCGCAUAUCUGCUAUUAAAGUCGAGCGUAUAUCAAAAAUAAAUUUUUUAUAUAUUAUUUUUUUAAUUUUAUUUAUAAAAUUCUCACCAGAUAUAUUGUUAUUGCAAUAAAAAAUUAGAUAUUAACAUGAUAUCUAGAAAUAAUUUUUUUCUUUUUUUUUUGGCCAUAGAAAAGAGCAUCUUUUAUUAAUAAUUUAUUAUAUUAAGACAAAGUUCAAAAUAAAUUUUCUUCCUAAAUGAAAUUUCUCGUAUUUGACCUCAUUUUGGCUGUACUAUUUUGACUAGAAGUAUUAGUUAAAUCCUAUUAAAUGAAGAAAACGUCAUCAAGUCCUAUUUUGCAGCCGUUACUAUAAUUAGGGCGUCGUUACAAUAUUAGAUAUUGGUCCGAUAAAUCAAUAACUUUUUUUUAACAAUGUAUUAUGUACUAUUCUAUUGAAAAUUGUCAUUCUUUUUCGAACAUAGUUAUAAGAUUUGUGUAUGCUCUAUUUAAAGACUGAUACGGGAUUCUUAUGAAGUGGUGUCAAUGAUUUAGGAACUUUUGCAACCCCUUAACCACUAGACUAAACUUUCUACUUGUGUCAAAAGAUAUCAAUACUUAUAUAUACAAUGUGAUUUUCCUCGACCAAGGGUAGGUUGACCCCUGACUCUACCAUCUUCAGACCGUACUUUGUGCAGGGUAGGUCCACCCCUGACUCUACCAUCUUCAAAUCGUACUUUGUGCAUGACAUUGAAUAUGUUAUUAUUGCAUUGUAUGGCUACUUAACAAUUUCCUCCUUUUUUUUGUUUUGUUUUGUGUAGGUGAACCAUGGGAAUUUGGUGAAGCUAGAAGGUUUUUGCAUAGACCCUAAAGAAGCAAAUUGCUUCUUAGUGUAUGAGUAUGUUGAAAAUGGUUCACUACAUUCAUGGAUUCAUGGUGAAAAACCUGAAAAAUUGAGUUGGAAAACAAGACUAAGAAUUGCAACCGAUGUUGCAAAUGGUCUUUUGUACAUUCAUGAACAUACAAGGCCAAGAGUUGUCCACAAAGACAUCAAAACUAGCAACAUUCUCUUAGACUCCAACAUGAGAG